RNAcentral lists this ribosomal RNA (253 nucleotides) under uncultured bacterium. Its description in RNAcentral is "partial 16S ribosomal RNA". It matches the Rfam family "Bacterial small subunit ribosomal RNA", at positions 524 to 776 of the family's 1533-position model. The record is from RNAcentral.
UACGUAGGGGGCCAGCGUUGUCCGGAAUUAUUGGGCGUAAAGAGCUUGUAGGCGGUUUGUCGCGUCUGCUGUGAAAAUCCGGGGCUCAACCCCGGACUUGCAGUGGGUACGGGCAGACUAGAGUGUGGUAGGGGAGACUGGAAUUCCUGGUGUAGCGGUGGAAUGCGCAGAUAUCAGGAAGAACACCCGUGGCGAAGGCGGCUCUCUGGGACGGUACUGACGCUGAGACGCGAAAGCGUGGGGAGCGAACAGG